RNAcentral lists this long non-coding RNA (601 nucleotides) under Chinchilla lanigera (long-tailed chinchilla). RNAcentral's name for it is "lncRNA (ENSCLAG00000028106.1)". The record is from RNAcentral. Lineage: Eukaryota; Metazoa; Chordata; Mammalia; Rodentia; Chinchillidae.
UUGUCACCUCCCAGCCUGCAACAUCCCUGUCUCACAGCAUCCUCUUCCCCAAAUCACCCAGACGCACCGAGGGUCUGCCCUCUCCUCAGAUUUGUUUUCCCUCUAUUCUCGUUUUCUGUUCAUUCCUAAAGGUCUCCAGAAUGGCUUACUCGAAACUUUGCUGACCUGCUCUGGACUCUAAUCUUUCGACAAUGGAGAGUAGGAUGGCCAAGGUGCUGGGAUACUGUUGAGUAGUGGGACCCAAUGGCCUGACUGGUGACAACCCUGCUCUGUGUGGCAUCGGGAAGGGGCAGGGGCUGUGGUGUCAGCUAAGCCAGGAUCGUCGUGGUGGUGCAAGCCAUCCACGUCUGCCAAAGUGCUCUGAGGGGAGGUGUAAGGUCUGCUCCUCUCAGAAUCAUCAUCACGCCUCAUUUUCCUGCAGUUUGCUGUGGCAAGAACAGAAGAGUCACAGAACUGCUCAUGAGCACUGAAAUAAAAUUUAGUGUAGCCACCUGUCGAAUGGAGUGGACCUUCUGAAGGCCAAGGGCGAUGCGUAUAGUACAUCUACGUUGCGGACAUUGUUAGGAUUCAGUGGGAUGGCAUGAUGUCCAGACCACCAGAA